Non-coding RNA from Erinaceus europaeus (western European hedgehog), 237 nucleotides. NCBI's taxonomy places the organism in Eukaryota, Metazoa, Chordata, Mammalia, Eulipotyphla, Erinaceidae. The record is from Rfam.
AUGAAGUGAUAAUUCAGUUUACCCAUUUGCUGAGUACACAGGUGCUAACCUUCUUCCAACCCUCAGUUCCUAUUCUAGGAACAGGGAUACAUAGCCUCCAAAUACCCUGCAGUCUGCAGUGUUCGACUGUAGACAGCUUGUGUAUUGGUGGACUAUUAAUAAGAAUGACCGGUGUCAGCAGGGAUUGGUCUUUUUGGGCUCUAUCUCACUGAGAUGAGUGUUGGUAAAGAAAAAGAA